RNAcentral lists this long non-coding RNA (246 nucleotides) under Daucus carota (carrot). Its description in RNAcentral is "long non-coding RNA (DCAR_LNC000635)". The record is from RNAcentral. Lineage: Eukaryota; Viridiplantae; Streptophyta; Magnoliopsida; Apiales; Apiaceae.
GGAUGGGAAUUUGCUACAUCUGCAAUGAAGCAUCUUUCCAGGGCUCGGAAUGUCAACUUUGAAUGGCACCACUGGUAGUAGGAAAAGAGAAGUUUUUGCAGACGAAUCUUCAAGGGAUUUCAAUCUAACUCAGUGAUUCAGGGAUAUACAAUUACACAGUGAAUUGUAUCAAUGCUAAAUCCAUCCAGAAUCAACUGAACCAAAGACAGAGAACUGUGGAGGUUUAAGGAUAUAAUUAUCGAGUUA